This 497-nucleotide ribosomal RNA is filed under the name uncultured bacterium. Its description in RNAcentral is "partial 16S ribosomal RNA". It matches the Rfam family "Bacterial small subunit ribosomal RNA", at positions 28 to 507 of the family's 1533-position model. The record is from RNAcentral.
GAUGAACGCUGGCGGCGUGCCUAAUACAUGCAAGUCGAGCGAACAGACGAGGAGCUUGCUCCUCUGACGUUAGCGGCGGACGGGUGAGUAACACGUGGAUAACCUACCUAUAAGACUGGGAUAACUUCGGGAAACCGGAGCUAAUACCGGAUAAUAUAUUGAACCGCAUGGUUCAAUAGUGAAAGACGGUUUUGCUGUCACUUAUAGAUGGAUCCGCGCCGCAUUAGCUAGUUGGUAAGGUAACGGCUUACCAAGGCAUCGAUGCGUAGCCGACCUGAGAGGUGGUUCGGCAACACGGGACCGGGGACCCGGUCCAGCCUCCGACGGGGGGCACAAGAGGGGAACUUCCGGCAAUGGCCGAAGGCCUGACGGAGCAAGCCCGCGUGGGUGAUAAAGGUCUUGGGAUCGAAAAACUGUUUUAUUAGGGAAAAACAAAUGUGUAAGAAACUCUGCCCGUCUUGACGGUACCUAAUAAGAAAGCCACGGCAACCUACGUG